Molecule: ribosomal RNA, 301 nt
Filed under: uncultured bacterium
Lineage: Bacteria
Description: partial 16S ribosomal RNA
Rfam family: Bacterial small subunit ribosomal RNA
Source: RNAcentral
CAGUCGCCGCGGUAAAACGAAGGGUGCAAGCGUUAAUCGGAAUUACUGGGCGUAAAGCGUGCCCAGGCGGUCUGUUAAGACAGAUGUGAAAUCCCCGGGCUCAACCUGGGAACUGCAUUUGUGACUGGCAAGCUAGAGUGUAGCAGAGGGGGGUGGAAUUCCGCGUGUAGCAGUGAAAUGCGUAGAUAUGCGGAGGAACACCGAUGGCGAAGGCAGCCCCCUGGGCCAACACUGACGCUCAUGCACGAAAGCGUGGGGAGCAAACGGGAUUAGAUACCCCUGUAGUCCCUGUCUCUUAUAC